CGUGCUAGGUGGGGCGUUAGCGGUGCCCUGUACUCGCAAUCCGCUAUAGCGAGACUGAAUGCCCUGUCGAGACUGUUCGCAUGUGGCCGCUAGAGUCAGUAUUUAGAUGUUGAUAGCCUGGUCCUGCGCGGCGAGACCUCGUGAAUCCCGUCAGGACCGGAAGGUAGCAGCGGUAAGCGAAACACCUCGGGUGCCGUGGGAACGCCGGGCUAGAGUCGGUAUUGCG
RNAcentral lists this signal recognition particle RNA (226 nucleotides) under marine eukaryotic metagenome. RNAcentral describes it as "Bacterial large signal recognition particle RNA". It matches the Rfam family "Bacterial large signal recognition particle RNA", at positions 2 to 224 of the family's 256-position model. From Rfam's summary of the family: The signal recognition particle (SRP) is a universally conserved ribonucleoprotein involved in the co-translational targeting of proteins to membranes. Archaeal SRP consists of a 7S RNA and homologues of the eukaryotic SRP19 and SRP54 proteins. In most bacteria, the SRP consists of a 4.5S RNA and the Ffh protein (a homologue of the eukaryotic SRP54 protein). The record is from RNAcentral.